GCCACUGAGCGUUGUUUAUAGUUGAGAUCUUUAUCCCUGUGCGAUUCAUAUUCGAAGCUCUGGCUAUUUUCUUGCUGAGAUGUGGUGGAUUUUGGCCAUAGAAAUACCGUAGGUAUUCCGUUCGGAAUUACCUUUAUUCAAGGCCGACUAUUUCGCUGAACGCGGAAGUAGAGUGUCACCUCUGGUAUUUUAAUCGACCUGUCAUCACUGUCACCGAUCUGUUCUGAAAUGACUAUUUUGUCAAUUGUCUUUUCUCUUGAUUGUGGAGUUUGAUGAAUAAGGUGGUGCGUGAUCCGAAUUAUCUUGCAGCAAUUUUUGCAUCCAUUCUGGGAUUUCGAGAUUUUCGGACUCGGCGAUUUCUGGCGUUGUUUAGUGGUUGUCUGAAACCUAUAUUUUUGUCGAGGCGCAGAAAUCCCUUCGGCAAUUCGCCGGAUUCAUAAAGCACCGGCCUGAUUAUUCAUAUGUUUGGACCAUCUCCACCGCCCACUUCCGUUGAAACCAGUUUGUUGUUGGAUUCUUUCUACAAUGGGACCAAAUCAAUUACCAUCUGUUAGUGGAAACACCCUCAACUGAGAGGGUGUUUGACUCCGGCUGAGCCAUCGACUGUGAAGGCCUGUAGAACCGCCAGCUUGGGUUUCGUUUUCCUCAUCAGUUCUCUUCAUUGGAUUCUUCCACUCUUGUGCCUCUAUAUGGUCAACUAUUCCUAAUAAGACACCACCGUUGUGUUAGUCUCUUAAGCGAGAGCAGCUCUCAGCCAUUACAACAGACUGAAGACCGUCCUAGACUCUUUCGGAGCUGACUGCAGCCAUCGUAGCAACCCUAAUACCCCGGAAGGAGGGUGUUCAAAGAGUUAAGAUAUUUCUUUAGAUAUUUAUUCAAAUGUUUCUGGGAUAUUCAUUUAUAUGUUGAUUAUUAUUCAGUAAGAUUAUUAUCAUUAUUUGGGUACUCUGAAGUGACGUCACAAAUCAGCAUCCCCUACAUUCACAACUGUCAAUAUUAUUUGCUUUGCAUCAGUAGUUCUGAUACUAAUAGUUUUUCAGCCCAUAUUGUGGGAGUUCAACCACAAUUAAUUUAAGAUUCUGUCGGGGUAUUCUGUACCUUUAGUAUUGUGCUUUUCCAUACAAAUAUACAUGUUUGUUUAAACUAA
Molecule: long non-coding RNA, 1147 nt
Organism: Leptinotarsa decemlineata (Colorado potato beetle)
Lineage: Eukaryota; Metazoa; Arthropoda; Insecta; Coleoptera; Chrysomelidae
Source: RefSeq, a predicted model, not a curated record